Molecule: long non-coding RNA, 730 nt
Organism: Neopelma chrysocephalum (saffron-crested tyrant-manakin)
Lineage: Eukaryota; Metazoa; Chordata; Aves; Passeriformes; Pipridae
Exons: 3
Source: RefSeq, a predicted model, not a curated record
UCCUGUUAAAGAAUUUAUGCUGUGCUUUUUUUUUCUCCAAGACCAUAAAUGUGCCACCACCAUCAGGAAUACCAGUGUGGAGAUUACUGGCUUGAUCCCUUCCACCAGCUCUGCCCUCUGGGACAUCAAAUGAAGCUGCACACUUACCCUUUCCUGUGACACACAGCCCACACCCCUGAGCCUGCUCUCCCACCAUGGAGGCUUUUCCAGCUAAGUUAAUGCAAACUAGUAAGAGAAGGUUUACAAAUGAAAGUCAGCUAAACAAAUACACAGAAAAAAAGGGAUUAAAAAAUUUGCCUAAUGCAGCUUUGUAAAGAAAAGCUGAAAUGAUGUCAUCCUUUAAAGAAGUUCCAACAACCAAGGUCAAGCAAGGCAGGGGACUGUUUUCAUGUCCAAGGCACAUCUUCCCAAAAAAGACUGAAAUCUGCUUCAGGAACAAGAACAGUGCCCAGCCAUCCUGCUCCUGGUCUUUUGUUGUGAAAUGAAGCUUUGACAUAUAAAUAAAACUAUACUUGAACACAUGUAAUUUCAGGCCAAAUAUGGGUAUGACAAAUCCAUUUGCUGGGCAAGCUGAGUGAAUAAUGAUGGUUAAUUAUUGAUCUGUCACGAGGUACUCAGAAUACGAAAAAUCACACGGAAUUAAUUGAAGGACUUUAAAAACAAAUUUCAAAACAAAAGAACUUGAAAUAUGUACAAGGCAACUUGUGUAGUCACAAGCACUACAGAAAUA